This 400-nucleotide ribosomal RNA is filed under the name uncultured bacterium. RNAcentral's name for it is "bacterial SSU rRNA". It matches the Rfam family "Bacterial small subunit ribosomal RNA", at positions 356 to 773 of the family's 1533-position model. The record is from RNAcentral.
GGGGAAUAUUGGACAAUGGGCGAAAGCCUGAUCCAGCUAUGCCGCGUGAGUGAUGAAGGCCUUAGGGUUGUAAAGCUCUUUUAGUGGGGACGAUAAUGACGGUACCCACAGAAAAAGCCCCGGCUAACUUCGUGCCAGCAGCCGCGGUAAUACGAAGGGGGCUAGCGUUGUUCGGAUUUACUGGGCGUAAAGCGCACGUAGGCGGAUCGUUAAGUCGGGGGUGAAAUCCUGGAGCUCAACUCCAGAACUGCCUUCGAUACUGGCGAUCUUGAGUCCGGAAGAGGUGAGUGGAACUCCUAGUGUAGAGGUGGAAUUCGUAGAUAUUAGGAAGAGCACCAGUGGCGAAGGCGGCUCACUGGUCCGGUACUGACGCUGAGGUGCGAAAGCGUGGGGAGCAAAC